This 219-nucleotide ribosomal RNA is filed under the name uncultured bacterium. RNAcentral describes it as "partial 16S ribosomal RNA". It matches the Rfam family "Archaeal small subunit ribosomal RNA", at positions 474 to 693 of the family's 1478-position model. The record is from RNAcentral.
UACCAGCACCCCGAGUGGUCGGGACGAUUAUUGGGCCUAAAGCAUCCGUAGCCGGCCUUACAAGUCCUCCGUUAAAUCCAGCUGCUUAACAGAUGGGCUGCGGAGGAUACUAUAAGACUAGGAGGCAGGAGAGGCAAGCGGUACUCAGUGGGUAGGGGUAAAAUCCGUUGAUCCAUUGAAGACCACCAGUGGCGAAGGCGGCUUGCCAGAAUGCGCUCG